AUUGAACGCUGGCGGCAUGCCUUACACAUGCAAGUCGAACGGCAGCACGGGAGCAAUCCUGGUGGCGAGUGGCGAACGGGUGAGUAAUAUAUCGGAACGUGCCCAGUCGUGGGGGAUAACGUAGCGAAAGCUACGCUAAUACCGCAUACGAUCUAUGGAUGAAAGCGGGGGAUCGCAAGACCUCGCGCGAUUGGAGCGGCCGAUAUCAGAUUAGGUAGUUGGUGAGGUAAAGGCUCACCAAGCCGACGAUCUGUAGCUGGUCUGAGAGGACGACCAGCCACACUGGGACUGAGACACGGCCCAGACUCCUACGGGAGGCAGCAGUGGGGAAUUUUGGACAAUGGGCGCAAGCCUGAUCCAGCAAUGCCGCGUGCAGGAU
RNAcentral lists this ribosomal RNA (379 nucleotides) under uncultured bacterium. RNAcentral's name for it is "bacterial SSU rRNA". It matches the Rfam family "Bacterial small subunit ribosomal RNA", at positions 30 to 409 of the family's 1533-position model. The record is from RNAcentral.